AUCCUCCACAUCGUCUCCAACAACCACUCCUUCUCCUACAUCAGCCUCUCCACCCUCUUCCCAGUUUCUUCCCUAUGGGCUCCUGUCUCUAACUGGUGUCGUUGUUGUGGUUUUACUGCUGGUUCUACUGGUGAAACAUCAGGUUAACAGGAAAUCUAGAGGUAAUCAGGAAGUUGGAGAGGAAAGUAUCAUUUACAGCGAUGUUAAAAUAUCCCAGCAUAAACAACGGAGAAACAAACCAAACAAAGAACCAGAAGUGGUCUAUUCUUCACUGAGGUAGUCCUCCAGUUCCAGCAGAAAUGUCCAGCUGUCAGCUCAUCUUCAGCCUGCAGAUAAAGAUCUACUUCUGCUGAAGAUCUGCUUCUUUCUCUGGAAAUGAGUUCAGCAAGAUGGACACAAAGGUCUCCUGAAUGUAUUUCAAUGUUUCAUUAUCAGUGUGGUGUUCAAUGUUCUCAGUAACUUCAGUUAUUUUCUGUUUUCAAUGUUUGGUCUGAACUGUUCUAACCACAGCAGCACGAUGGUUCCUCUGCAGCUUCAACAUGUUUAACCUGCGGUUCUGUAGUUUGUUUCUAACAUUUCAGACAUGAUGUUCCUGUUUGUUUGUGGCUGACCAAUGGAAACGAUUCUUCAGAGCAGCUUGGAAAGAAAUGAAACCAAAACCGCAGAAUAAAACCUGCAGAAAACCCCUCAGUGUUAAACCAAAGCAGUUAGCUUUAGCUUGUUUUAAUGUUUUAUCUAGAAAUGCUUUGAAUGAACAAACCAACAAAAUGUCAUAAACUGCAGGUUAUGUUGAUUAAUUAAAAUAAAUUCAGUGUUUGUAUAUUUAUAACAAAUAGAUCUACCUGAUGGGUCCCAGCUCAGCCAUCAGUGGGUUUUAUCUCUGAUCAAUCGACCAACCUGGAGAAGAUCUAAAGUUGAUUUAAGGUCAUAAAGAGUUCCCAGUUUUACUCUGAUUUAAAUAUUUAGGUUUUUACUCAUAGAUCCAAACAAUAAAAUUCUAGUUUAAUCAGAACAUCAGACAUGAAGCUCUGACCCGGGCCUGUUGGACCCACUUUGGUACCACUGGAACAUAAUACUGGCCUCAACCUGUAGUGUUGAUAAGUUCUGUUAAACUAUAAUAAAACAUUAAUAAUUAAUCAGACUCAGUAAAUAUUAAUCAGUCUGAAGGAGGAUUUUUAUUUCCUAAUUAGGAAGUUUUCUUUUAUCAAGAAGGAUGUUUUCUAUUUAUAGCAAAGUUGCAAAUUUAUUCUAGUCAAUUUAAUUAAAGCAUAAAAAUAAAAGAAAAUCAUAGAAAAACCAACGUUAGACUAACUACUUCUGACUGGGUCUGAAUGUUCAGAAUAUCAUCUCAGCUGAACCAGAAGAAGACUUUAGACAAACAUACAUGUUCUUCAUGUUAAUUAAUGAGAAAAUAAUCAAAUCUGUUCAUUUUCCAUCAUCGUGUUUAAAGAGAACAAGGAAAACAAAAGAAAAGCUUAACUUCUGGAGCUUCUACUGACUGUUGCUCUGAACAUCGUCACCAUCAAGUGCACUAAGGCAGGAACAAACCAUUUCAUGCAGAUACAGGGGGGUGAUUACUUUUUGGUCUGGGAGACAUUUAACUGUUACUGCCAAAGACAAGUAAAAACAAAGCCAUCAUUAACUUUAUUUUUUAUAAGCUUGAUGAUGGUUAUUAAUUAUGUCCAAUCCUAAUGUUUCCCUCCUUUACGGCGCCACUGAUGCAAUCUGCUGGGUUUCCUUAGAUGGAAAACUUUUUAACCAACUAGAAUAAUAAACUGAGUUUGACUGCAUUGUUUGAUAAUUAGGAUAAAUUAAAAUAUAUUUAUUUAACUUGGAACAUGUAUGAUUGAUUGAAUUGACUUUGUGCUUUAAAAUAACAUGUUGUGAAGUGGUGCUAUAUAAUUAAACUGAAUUAUAUA
This is a long non-coding RNA of Girardinichthys multiradiatus, 1919 nucleotides long. RefSeq lists it as uncharacterized. The record is from RefSeq and is a predicted model, not a curated record. Lineage: Eukaryota; Metazoa; Chordata; Actinopteri; Cyprinodontiformes; Goodeidae. The transcript is spliced from 3 exons.